This is a long non-coding RNA of Oncorhynchus mykiss (rainbow trout), 1225 nucleotides long. The record is from Ensembl. Lineage: Eukaryota; Metazoa; Chordata; Actinopteri; Salmoniformes; Salmonidae.
AUGGUAAGCCAGGUCAUGUACUCUGUGGAUUCUGAUGCAGAAAGUAGAGGAUCCUCUCCAACUGAAUCUCUCCAAACAUCUGAACCCACUAUAUCUGAUGUAGGCAAUCUAUUGAGUGGCAAGUCCUCCCCUCGGCUGUCUCCUUCUGGCACCAUUAUGGCAACAAGCGAGACCUCCAAUGCAGCACAAAUCUUGAAGGCCAACAUUGAUGGAGAGGAAGUGGAUACCACCAGUCAUUCUGGUGUAGCUCAAAACAUUGUCAGGGACGAUAUGUCAACCAGCCCAGACAUGGUCAAAGAUGUCACACUUCCAACCCCAUCCUCUGAUAACUUGGGCAGUGAUGAUGACGUCACCUGCCUCAUCAGCAUGUUAGUAAUGAGAAUUCUAACAGAAAUCCAAACCCCAGCAGAAGAUUACCCAGUUGACGUCACACGCAAGUCACAAGACCUGAUCCCUAAAGUUAUGGAGGUCUUCUGUGCAUGGUCAGGCUGCUCUGAGACACAAGCCUAUCCAGAGAACUUGAGGAUUCAUAAAGUCUACAGAGUCGUCUAUAAAAAUCUGUUGGAGGAGUUUGGCUCGGAGAAAAUCCUCCAACAGGCCGUGUCGACUCAGGACUCUUCAUUUGAUAGGAUUCUUGUCAAGUCUUUGAGUGAAGCGCUUCUCCACAGAUGUAAUGAGGCAGUGAGGGCAGCCUCAAGAACAUCAGUCAAAACCACCGGGCCUAAGGCUCUUCCACUGGCUGAGGAUGUGAGGGCUAGCAGCGGGAAACUAUCUUUUCUACAAAGGCUGGUCAGGCUGACAAGCAACUUAAAGCUAUUCAAGAAGGGGAACAAGAAGGAUUCCCACCGCUCUGAAUCAGAACAAGUACAGACCACUGCUGAAGAUGGCAUGCUGCCCAGCAUAGUGCCACAUGCUGCCAUGUCUGCACUGCCAAAGGAUCUCCCCGCCAGCUCCCAACAGGAGACGCCUCACAAACGUCCACUUCUCGUCAGGAUGUUUUUCUGCCAUCUCCAAAGGCCUUUUCAAGCCCUUCUUCACAGUCUGACUCUUCUGACACUGUGUGACAUGCCCUCUGAUCCAGUGAUCUAGGAUAUUCUGAGUGGCUUUAGGCCUGAAUCUCUGCCCCCUGCCCAAAUAAAUGUUUUCUCUUCUGAUAUAUCUGCCUCUGUCAGCAGCCAGCAGGGGAAAACAGACAGCACUGUUGAGAGCUGUGGGCACCUAGCUG